Camellia sinensis is the source of this 681-nucleotide long non-coding RNA. RefSeq lists it as uncharacterized. The record is from RefSeq and is a predicted model, not a curated record. Lineage: Eukaryota; Viridiplantae; Streptophyta; Magnoliopsida; Ericales; Theaceae.
GAAAAUGCUUCAUUCCUUCGAGUCACAAAAGACACAGCUCUCUCUCGCUAAGCAUCGACGACUAACGAUGAUUCAGAGGUAAACUAGAUGUCUGUCCUCCAAAUUUGCAAUGUAUGUGUUUGACGACGACGAACGAUGAUUUUAUGGAAUUUUCUCUUCAAUUGAGCAAUGGAUCUAAUUCAAUGUAUUCAACGGAGCUUGCCUACAAAUUCACUAUAUAGAGGUGAUGAAAUUGCAAGACAGCUAGAAGAAGUGCAAAUGGACAAUGUGCAAAUUGUCAACGAACAACUUCAAGUUUUGAUUGUGAAGAUUCAAAAAUUGGAAUCUGACACUAUGUUUAUUAAAUAUGGGUUAAUCGUGGCCUUGAUUGUGUUUGGUUCCUUGUUAGUUAUGAAGAUGUAAUAAUGUACGCAAGUUAGUCAUCUACUUUAAGAGCAGUCUCAGCAUUUGAAGCAGAAGGAAGGGCAUGCUUUUUGGCAGUACAGUGGGCAAGGCAGAAUAGUGUGUGUUUUGGAUAUAAGCUCGGACAGAUUUUCAACACAUGUAUUAGCAAAAUCAGGGUUAGUGUGGCAUAGUUUUCUUUUAGGUUUUUGCAUUUGCUUUUGUUUGUGGUUGUAUUACAUGUAGAUUAUAUGAACAUUGGUUUCACAAAUAAUAAACGUGAGACAAGACUUUAGUUAC